RNAcentral lists this long non-coding RNA (680 nucleotides) under Gallus gallus (chicken). RNAcentral's name for it is "lncRNA (ENSGALG00010006812.1)". The record is from RNAcentral. Lineage: Eukaryota; Metazoa; Chordata; Aves; Galliformes; Phasianidae.
ACAGAAAGAACGGAAAGAACCUCCACAGAGACAGAAACAUAAGGCAGAAAAUUAGGUGACAGGUCAAGAACAACAACGGAAACAACGGAAACAACGGAAACAACGGAAACAACAGAAACAACGGAAACAACGGAAACAAAACAACCUCCACAGAGACAGAAACAUAAGGCAGAAAAUUAGGUGACAGGUCAAGAAGAACAACGGAAGACGGAAACAACGGAAACAACCGAAACAACCGAAACAACCAUAACAACCUCCACAGAGACAGAAACAUAAGGCAGAUAAUUAGGUGACAGGUCAAGAACAACAACGGAAACACUAACGGAAACACUAACGGAAACACUAACGGAAACAUCCGCCAGAGAGACAGAAACAUACGGCAGAAAAUUAGGUGACAUGUCAAGAACAACAACGGAAACAACUGAAACAACCAAAACAACCGAAACAACCUCCACAGAGACAGAAACAUAAGGCAGAAAAUUAGGUAACAGGUCAAGCACAACAACGGAAACAACCGAAACAACCUGCACAGAGACAGAAACAUAAGGCAGAAAAUUAGGUGACAGGUCAAGAACAACAACGGAAAUAACAGAAAAAACUGAAAUAACAAAAAUAAUAACGGAAAUAACGAAAAUAACCUUCACAGAGAUAGAAACAUAAGGACAAAAAUUAGGUGACAG